This is a long non-coding RNA of Dicentrarchus labrax (European seabass), 1381 nucleotides long. RefSeq lists it as uncharacterized. The transcript is spliced from 4 exons. NCBI's taxonomy places the organism in Eukaryota, Metazoa, Chordata, Actinopteri, Moronidae. The record is from RefSeq and is a predicted model, not a curated record.
AGAAGUCAACUACUCCUGACAUUUGGAUUUAUUGUCUUCAAACUACAAACUUCAGAAGGUGGCUGUUGGACAAUGAUGUAGGCUUUACAAUCUACCUCAUCAACACACCCAGAAAGAAGAGGCUGCCAGAGUGAACAUGACUGAGGGGCACAGCGAGGCCAGCAUGGCAUCUUUUGUGGGUUCUGCACGCAGCUAGGAUGAAAUACAAUUAAAACCCAAAGCUCGAGCAGCCUCAGAGGACGAGCAGCUGGUUGGCUUUGGCUGUGGACCAGAGAGCAGCUGGAGGGAGGUGUGGGACAGGAGGGCUGACGGCUACGCUGCCUUCAUCAUGAGAACUAAGUGUUUUCAGGGACUCAGAUGUACAGACUGCAGCAGUAGCUGAUAAGGAAACAGUCGGCCUCUGUCUCCUCUUCAUCAGUUCCUGCCUCAAGUGCACCUGAUGAAGACACCAGUAGGUCUUCUUCAUCACAUUGAUGGAUGAUGACGAUGAGGAGCUGGAGAGAGCGAUGAAGAGCAUAUCACCCACCAAGGAACUGGCACAGUGUUUCCCACCGUGCCGACAGUGAAGAGACCUGUAACCAUUCCUCCUGAGCUGCAGGUUCUGGUGACAGAGGUUGCUCAUCCCAACAAACUGAGUUCUUUCAGCGUGAACUUCAGCUAACCGAGCGCAGAGUGGAAGACAGAGCGGAAAAGAAGAGGAAACUGCCGGACCCUCAGCCUCGAGGAACAAUGUGUCGUUUCUGUCACACAGAGCUGAAGCAGGGUCCAACCAGCAGACACACACACACACACACACACACACACACACACAGGAUUCCCGGGAGGAAAACACAUUCACUGUCCAGCUAAGGUCCUUGCGUCAUAAAUACAUGACAAAGGAAAUGAAGUGGAAAGAAUUUGAGGCCUCACCGUUCUAUGCGAUGGAGAAAGAGAGGGUGGACGGCAGAAAGAAAAAGAUAGCUGAGGUCAUACAUUAUCCAUCUGUUGUUCUGUUCUUCACAUUUUGUCCCAAAGGUCCAGUGUCUAACAUUUCAUUCUUUAUUUAUUAUUACAGGGUUCCCGCGGGUCCAUAAAAAGUCUUAUAUUGUCUUAAAUUGACUGUAAAGUUGCUGUAGGUAUUACAUUUUCAGCCGGUGCACUUAAUGACGAUGGGAAAGCACAGUGGCCCACCGUAAAACAUCUAAUAGUUGAUUAAUUUAGUAUUGUGUCAAAUGAGAGUCUCCACGAUUAAUAGCUGUUUUACGGUACGUCGGCUACAGACGCUGACGUAGAGCUGCGUGCCACCAUUACGCAGUUGUCGAGGUGAGGUUUAACAUGCAAAGAAGAUGGGGAAGUGCAAAUUUAACGACAAGUGGAUGGAAGAGGAUGUAUUUAGGAGGUG